This 464-nucleotide ribosomal RNA is filed under the name uncultured bacterium. RNAcentral's name for it is "partial 16S ribosomal RNA". It matches the Rfam family "Bacterial small subunit ribosomal RNA", at positions 29 to 506 of the family's 1533-position model. The record is from RNAcentral.
AGUGAACGCUGGCGGCGUGCUUAAUACAUGCAAGUCGAACGAUGAAGCUGCUAGCUUUCGCUCAUAGGAUUGGCGGCUCACGGGUGAGUAAUAUAUAGUUAAUCUUCCUUUCAUUCAGGAACAACAGUGUGAAACGAUUUCUAAUACUUCAUACUCCAACUUAGCAUAAGAUAAGUUGGAAAAUUCUUUUCGGUGCAAGAUGAGACUAUAUCGUAUCAUCUAGUUGUUAAGGUAAUGGCGUACCAAGGCUAUGACGCGUAACUGGUCAUAGAGGAUGAUCAGCAACAUUGGAACUGAGACACGGGCGGGAAUCCUAGGGGAGGCAGCAGUAAGGAAUAUCGUGCAAUGGGGGAAAGCGUGACGCAGCAUCGCCGUGUGAAGGAUGAUAGUUUGCGGAGAGUAAAAUCCUUUUGUUACGGCAGAAUAAUGACGGUACCUAAAGAAUAAGCACCGGCUAACUCCGU